This 506-nucleotide ribosomal RNA is filed under the name uncultured bacterium. Its description in RNAcentral is "bacterial SSU rRNA". It matches the Rfam family "Bacterial small subunit ribosomal RNA", at positions 20 to 518 of the family's 1533-position model. The record is from RNAcentral.
UGGCUCAGAACGAACGCUGGCGGCGCGUUUAAGCAUGCAAGUCGAGCGGCAAGGGCCUUCGGGCCCUAGAGCGGCGGACGGGUGAGUAACACGUGGACAAUCUGCCCCCCGGCCCGGGAUAGCCCAGGGAAACCUGGAUUAAUACCGGAUGAGACGGGACCCGCGAUGGCGGGAUCCGGGAAAGGCGCUGCGGCGCCGCCGGGGGAUGAGUCUGCGUCCCAUUAGCUAGACGGCGGGGUAACGGCCCACCGUGGCGACGAUGGGUAGCCGGCCUGAGAGGGUGGACGGCCACAUUGGAACUGAGACACGGUCCAGACUCCUACGGGAGGCAGCAGCUAAGAAUCUUCCGCAAUGGGCGAAAGCCUGACGGAAGCGACGCCGCGUGAACGAAGAAGGCCGUGAGGUUGUAAAGUUCUUUUCGGGAGGGGAACAACCGUGGCAGGGAAUGGCCGCGGGAUGACGUGAAUCCCGGAAUAAGCCCCGGCUAACUACGUGCCAGCCGCGGC